CGCGUAGGCGGCCAAUUAAGUCAAAUGUGAAAUCCCCGAGCUUAACUUGGGAAUUGCAUUCGAUACUGGUUGGCUAGAGUGUGGGAGAGGAUGGUAGAAUUCCAGGUGUAGCGGUGAAAUGCGUAGAGAUCUGGAGGAAUACCAGUGGCGAAGGCGGCUUUCUGGACGAUAACUGACGCUGAGGCGCGAAAGUGUGGGGAGCAAACAGGAUUAGAUACCCCUGUA
RNAcentral lists this ribosomal RNA (225 nucleotides) under uncultured Acinetobacter sp. Its description in RNAcentral is "partial 16S ribosomal RNA". It matches the Rfam family "Bacterial small subunit ribosomal RNA", at positions 568 to 792 of the family's 1533-position model. Lineage: Bacteria; Pseudomonadati; Pseudomonadota; Gammaproteobacteria; Moraxellales; Moraxellaceae. The record is from RNAcentral.